UACGGAGGGUGCAAACGUUGCUCGGAUUUACUGGGCGUAAAGGGGGCGCAGGCGGUCAGUUAAGUCAGAUGUGAAAGCCCGAGGCUCAACCUCGGAAUUGCACUUGAUACUGGCUGACUCGAGUAUGUUAGAGGAGAGCGGAAUUCCAGGUGUAGCGGUGAAAUGCGUUGAGAUCUGGAGGAACACCGGCGGCGAAGGCGGCUCUCUGGGGCAUUACUGACGCUGAGGCCCGAAAGCGUGGGGAUCAAACAGG
RNAcentral lists this unclassified non-coding RNA (253 nucleotides) under uncultured Gammaproteobacteria bacterium. RNAcentral describes it as "contains 16S-23S intergenic spacer region". It matches the Rfam family "Bacterial small subunit ribosomal RNA", at positions 524 to 776 of the family's 1533-position model. Lineage: Bacteria; Pseudomonadati; Pseudomonadota; Gammaproteobacteria. The record is from RNAcentral.